GACGAACGCUGGCGGCGUGCUUAACACAUGCAAGUCGAGCGGUAAGGCCCUUUCGGGGGUACACGAGCGGCGAACGGGUGAGUAACACGUGGGUGACCUGCCCUCAGCUCUGGGAUAAGCCUGGGAAACUGGGUCUAAUACUGGAUAUGACUCCACGGUGCAUGUCGUGGGUGGAAAGCCUUGUGCGGCUGAGGAUGGGCCCGCGGCCUAUCAGCUUGUUGGUGGGGGAUGGCCUACCAAGGCGACGACGGGUAGCCGGCCUGAGAGGGCGACCGGCCACACUGGGACUGAGACACGGCCCAGACUCCUACGGGAGGCAGCAGUGGGGAAUCUUGCGCAAUGGGCGAAAGCCUGACGCAGCGACGCCGCGUGAGGGAU
Molecule: ribosomal RNA, 378 nt
Filed under: uncultured bacterium
Lineage: Bacteria
Description: bacterial SSU rRNA
Rfam family: Bacterial small subunit ribosomal RNA
Source: RNAcentral